Molecule: ribosomal RNA, 850 nt
Filed under: Gymnostellatospora alpina
Lineage: Eukaryota; Fungi; Ascomycota; Leotiomycetes; Thelebolales; Pseudeurotiaceae
Description: LSU rRNA
Rfam family: Eukaryotic large subunit ribosomal RNA
Source: RNAcentral
AUUACCUCAGUAACGGCGAGUGAAGCGGUAACAGCUCAAAUUUGAAAUCUGGCCUCACGGUCCGAGUUGUAAUUUGUAGAGGAUGCUUCGAGCAUGGUCUGGCCUAAGUUCCUUGGAACAGGACGUCAUAGAGGGUGAGAAUCCCGUAUGCGGUCAGGUGCCUACGCUCAUGUGAAGCUCCUUCGACGAGUCGAGUUGUUUGGGAAUGCAGCUCAAAAUGGGUGGUAAAUUUCAUCUAAAGCUAAAUAUUGGCCAGAGACCGAUAGCGCACAAGUAGAGUGAUCGAAAGAUGAAAAGCACUUUGGAAAGAGAGUUAAACAGUACGUGAAAUUGUUGAAAGGGAAGCGCUUGCAACCAGACUUGCGCGCGGCCGAUCAUCCGGUGUUCUCACCGGUGCACUCGGCCGUGCUCAGGCCAGCAUCGGUUUUGGCGGCUGGAUAAAGGCCCCAGGAAUGUGGCUCCUCUCGGGGAGUGUUAUAGCCUGGGGUGCAAUGCAGCCUGCUGGGACCGAGGACCGCGCUUCGGCUAGGAUGCUGGCGUAAUGGUUGUAAGCGGCCCGUCUUGAAACACGGACCAAGGAGUCUAACAUCUAUGCGAGUGUUUGGGUGUCAAACCCAUACGCGUAAUGAAAGUGAACGGAGGUGAGAACCCUUAAGGGUGCAUCAUCGACCGAUCCUGAUGUCUUCGGAAGGAUUUGAGUAAGAGCAUAGCUGUUGGGACCCGAAAGAUGGUGAACUAUGCCUGAAUAGGGUGAAGCCAGAGGAAACUCUGGUGGAGGCUCGCAGCGGUUCUGACGUGCAAAUCGAUCGUCAAAUUUGGGUAUAGGGGCGAAAGACUAAUCGAACCAUCU